RNAcentral lists this ribosomal RNA (770 nucleotides) under uncultured bacterium. RNAcentral describes it as "partial 16S ribosomal RNA". It matches the Rfam family "Bacterial small subunit ribosomal RNA", at positions 8 to 780 of the family's 1533-position model. The record is from RNAcentral.
AGAGUUUGAUCAUGGCUCAAAUUGAACGCUGGCGGCAUGCCUUACACAUGCAAGUCGAACGGUAACAGGUUAAGCUGACGAGUGGCGAACGGGUGAGUAAUAUAUCGGAACGUGCCCAGUCGUGGGGGAUAACUGCUCGAAAGAGCAGCUAAUACCGCAUACGACCUGAGGGUGAAAGCGGGGGAUCGCAAGACCUCGCGCGAUUGGAGCGGCCGAUAUCAGAUUAGGUAGUUGGUGGGGUAAAGGCCCACCAAGCCAACGAUCUGUAGCUGGUCUGAGAGGACGACCAGCCACACUGGGACUGAGACACGGCCCAGACUCCUACGGGAGGCAGCAGUGGGGAAUUUUGGACAAUGGGCGCAAGCCUGAUCCAGCCAUGCCGCGUGCGGGAAGAAGGCCUUCGGGUUGUAAACCGCUUUUNUNNNNNANNANNNGGUUCUGGUUAAUACCUGGGACUCAUGACGGNNNNNGAAGAAUAAGCACCGGCUAACUACGUGCCAGCAGCCGCGGUAAUACGUAGGGUGCAAGCGUUAAUCGGAAUUACUGGGCGUAAAGCGUGCGCAGGCGGUUAUGCAAGACAGAGGUGAAAUCCCCGGGCUCAACCUGGGAACUGCCUUUGUGACUGCAUAGCUAGAGUACGGUAGAGGGGGAUGGAAUUCCGCGUGUAGCAGUGAAAUGCGUAGAUAUGCGGAGGAACACCGAUGGCGAAGGCAAUCCCCUGGACCUGUACUGACGCUCAUGCACGAAAGCGUGGGGAGCAAACAGGAUUA